This 492-nucleotide ribosomal RNA is filed under the name uncultured bacterium. RNAcentral's name for it is "partial 16S ribosomal RNA". It matches the Rfam family "Bacterial small subunit ribosomal RNA", at positions 29 to 507 of the family's 1533-position model. The record is from RNAcentral.
AGUGAACGCUGGCGGUAGGCCUAACACAUGCAAGUCGAACGGCAGCACAGUAAGAGCUUGCUCUUACGGGUGGCGAGUGGCGGACGGGUGAGGAAUACAUCGGAAUCUACUUUUUCGUGGGGAAUAGCGUAGGGAAACUUACGCUAAUACCGCAUACGACCUACGGGUGAAAGCAGGGGAUCUUCGGACCUUGCGCGAUUGAAUGAGCCGAUGUCGGAUUAGCUAGUUGGCGGGGUAAAGGCCCACCAAGGCGACGAUCCGUAGCUGGUCUGAGAGGAUGAUCAGCCACACUGGAACUGAGACACGGUCCAGACUCCUACGGGAGGCAGCAGUGGGGAAUAUUGGACAAUGGGCGCAAGCCUGAUCCAGCCAUACCGCGUGGGUGAAGAAGGCCUUCGGGUUGUAAAGCCCUUUUGUUGGGAAAGAAAAGCAGCAGGUUAAUACCCCGCUGUUCUGACGGUACCCAAAGAAUAAGCACCGGCUAACUUCGUG